AGGAGCAGUGAAGGUGGGUCCUCCAGGCUUGCCUAGAGAGGCUGUAGGGAAGCAGCCAAUCAGAGCGCAGCAGGUUCAGGUAAAUGGACCUGCAGGACCUGAGCAGAUCAGUUUAUGGCAGAGACCAGAGGAGCAAGGAGAAAGGGUUUCUUGCUGGUUGCUGGAGCUCAAGGGAGAACCAGAAGGGGCUAUAUUUCUCUUCCAAGAUCUGGCCAAUGCAUCACUUGCUGCAAGAAUGAGUUGUGAUAGUUAACUGCCAGAAGCAGAGGAAAUAUGCCCAUCCCGGGAGACUUUUGAAGACAAUGCUUCUUGAACCAAGGGCACAGACUGCUUGACCAGUGAGCCGUGUGAUAAAGCACAAACAGCGCAGGAAAUGAAAACCCUAGGAGCAGCAGAUGAUGUGGGCAGGAGGCACAGGAGAGACAAAUUUAUACAAAAAAUGUGGACCAAAAAAUCCUUGAAGUUUGUGCAUCUCACAUGGAAAAAGUAUAAAAAAGGAUCAUGGCAGGAGGUUGAGCAGGCUGGAGGAAUGAGCAUGGAAUUAGGUGGUCAUAUGUUCUAAACCUGGCUUUGCCUCUGGUACCAUGGUGAUAGGUGCUGUACAAGAAUAUCUUAGAUGGAUCGAUAUAACAGAUGAACAGUUGGAAGUUCUCUCAUCACUCCUUAUGAAAUCACUAGAAAGCUGAACUCGCGGGACAAAGGUGGUGAAGACAGAUAAUCGAGGCAAGUGAGAAGCUAAAGUCAAUUAAUCUUAUAAGAGAAAACAGAACAAUAGAAUGGCUGGAGGGUAGUUGUAUUCAGAGGAGAAGGAAG
Molecule: long non-coding RNA, 813 nt
Organism: Mauremys mutica (yellowpond turtle)
Lineage: Eukaryota; Metazoa; Chordata; Testudines; Geoemydidae
Exons: 6
Source: RefSeq, a predicted model, not a curated record